GUAGGUGGCAAGCGUUGUCCGGAAUUAUUGGGCGUAAAGCGCGCGCAGGCGGUUCUUUAAGUCUGAUGUGAAAGACCCACGGGCUCAACCGUGGAGGGUCAUUGGAAACUGGAGAACUUGAGUACAGAAGAGGAAAGCGGAAUUCCACGUGUAGCGGUGAAAUGCGUAGAGAUGUGGAGGAACACCAGUGGCGAAGGCGGCUUUCUGGUCUGUAACUGACGCUGAGGCGCGAAAGCGUGGGGAGCAAACAGGAUUAGAUACCCUGGUAGUCCACGCCGUAAACGAUGAGUGCUAAGUGUUAGGGGGUUUCCGCCCCUUAGUGCUGCAGCUAACGCAUUAAGCACUCCGCCUGGGGAGUACGGCCGCAAGGCUG
This 373-nucleotide ribosomal RNA is filed under the name uncultured organism. Its description in RNAcentral is "partial 16S ribosomal RNA". It matches the Rfam family "Bacterial small subunit ribosomal RNA", at positions 527 to 896 of the family's 1533-position model. The record is from RNAcentral.